This 914-nucleotide ribosomal RNA is filed under the name uncultured marine archaeon. Its description in RNAcentral is "bacterial SSU rRNA". It matches the Rfam family "Archaeal small subunit ribosomal RNA", at positions 1 to 922 of the family's 1478-position model. The record is from RNAcentral.
UUCGGUUGAUCCCGCCGGAGGCUACCGCUAUUGGAGUUCGAUUAAGCCAUGCGAGUCGCGAGUCUUAGGGACUCGGCGUACCGCUCAGUAACACGUGGGUAACCUGCCCUAUGCUGGGGGAUAACCUCGGGAAACUGAGAAUAAUACCCCAUAGUUCACCACGCCUGGAACGGUGGGUGGAUGAAAGCUCCGGCGGCAUAGGAUGGGCCUGCGGCGUAUCAGGUUGUAGGGGGUGUAAUGUACCCUCUAGCCAUCUACGCGUACGGGUGUUGGGAGACAUCGCCCGGAGAUGGAUUCUGAGACACGAAUCCAGACCCUACGGGGUGCAGCAGGCGCGAAAACUUGGCAAUGCGAGCAAUCGUGACCAGGGAACUCCAAGUGCAUCGGGUAAGACCGAUGCUUUUCUUGACUCUUCAAAGGUCUUGGAAUAAGGGGUGGGUAAGGACGGUGCCAGCCGCCGCGGUAAUACCGGCGCCUCAAGUGGUAGUCGCUUUUAUUGGGCCUAAAACGUCCGUAGCCGGUUUGGUACAUUCGUGGGUAAAUCAAGGCGCUCAACGCCUUGAAUUCUGCGAGCACGGCCAGACUUGGGACCGGGUGAGGUGUGGGGUACUCUCAGGGUAGGGGUAAAAUCCUGUCAUCCUGAGAGGACCACCUGUUGCGAAGGCGCCACACUAGAACGGAUCCGACGGUCAGGGACGAAGCCUAGGGGCACGAACCGGAUUAGAUACCCGGGUAGUCCUAGGUGUAAACGCUGUGGACUUGAUGUUGGGAGUGCUCCGAGCACCCUCAGUGUCGAAGCGAAGGUGAUAAGUCCACUGCCUGGGGAGUACGGUCGCAAGGCUGAAACUUAAAGGAAUUGGCGGGGGAGCACUGCAACCUGAGGAUUGUGCGGUUUAAUUGGAGUCAACGCCGGA